CUCUUAAACCUAAUCUAAUUAGGUUUAAACCCUGUUUUAACCCUUUAAAAGGCCUGUGGACGAACAGUAAAGGGUGUGGAUCAAUUUUUCACGCCGUACGAGCCGUACGGAACCCAAGAGAAGAGAGAGGCGGAAGCGCUGAGAGAGAAGGAGCAGGAGGCUCCUGGAUAACGGUCGUCAGGCACUUCAGGGGUUCAGGGGGUCU
This 205-nucleotide long non-coding RNA is filed under the name Elaeis guineensis (African oil palm). RNAcentral describes it as "long non-coding RNA (EGUI_LNC055345)". Lineage: Eukaryota; Viridiplantae; Streptophyta; Magnoliopsida; Arecales; Arecaceae. The record is from RNAcentral.